CACGUAGGGGGCAAGCGUUGUCCGGAUUUACUGGGCGUAAAGAGCUCGUAGGCGGUUCGGCAAGUCGGGUGUGACAACUCCAGGCUCAACCUCGAGACGCCGGCGGAAACCAUCAGGCUAGAGUCCGGAAGAGGAGAGUGGAAUUCCUGGUGUAGCGGUGAAAUGCGUAGAGAUGUGGAGGAACACCAGUGGCGAAGGCGGCUCACUGGCCCGGAACUGACGCUGAGGUGCGAAAGCGUGGGGGAGCAAACAGG
RNAcentral lists this ribosomal RNA (254 nucleotides) under uncultured bacterium. RNAcentral's name for it is "partial 16S ribosomal RNA". It matches the Rfam family "Bacterial small subunit ribosomal RNA", at positions 524 to 776 of the family's 1533-position model. The record is from RNAcentral.